RNAcentral lists this ribosomal RNA (597 nucleotides) under uncultured Arthrobacter sp. Its description in RNAcentral is "bacterial SSU rRNA". It matches the Rfam family "Bacterial small subunit ribosomal RNA", at positions 906 to 1496 of the family's 1533-position model. Lineage: Bacteria; Bacillati; Actinomycetota; Actinomycetes; Micrococcales; Micrococcaceae. The record is from RNAcentral.
GGAUUUGACGGGGGCCCGCACAAGCGGCGGAGCAUGUGGAUUAAUUCGAUGCAACGCGAAGAACCUUACCUGGGCUUGACAUACACCGGACCGGGCCAGAGAUGGCCUUUCCCUUGUGGCUGGUGUACAGGUGGUGCAUGGUUGUCGUCAGCUCGUGUCGUGAGAUGUUGGGUUAAGUCCCGCAACGAGCGCAACCCUCGUUCUAUGUUGCCAGCGGGUUAUGCCGGGGACUCAUAGGAGACUGCCGGGGUCAACUCGGAGGAAGGUGGGGACGACGUCAAAUCAUCAUGCCCCUUAUGUCUUGGGCUUCACGCAUGCUACAAUGGCCGGUACAAAGGGUUGCGAUACUGUGAGGUGGAGCUAAUCCCAAAAAGCCGGUCUCAGUUCGGAUUGAGGUCUGCAACUCGACCUCAUGAAGUUGGAGUCGCUAGUAAUCGCAUAUCAGCAACGCUGCGGUGAAUACGUUCCCGGGCCUUGUACACACCGUCCGUCAAAGUCACGAAAGUUGGUAACACCCCAAGCCGGUGGCCUAACCCCUUGUGGGAGGGAGCCCGUCCAAAGUGGGACCCGGCGAUUGGUACUUAAGUCGUAACAAGG